RNAcentral lists this ribosomal RNA (484 nucleotides) under uncultured bacterium. Its description in RNAcentral is "partial 16S ribosomal RNA". It matches the Rfam family "Bacterial small subunit ribosomal RNA", at positions 30 to 507 of the family's 1533-position model. The record is from RNAcentral.
AUUGAACGCUGGCGGCAGGCCUAACACAUGCAAGUCGAGCGGAUGAAGGGAGCUUGCUCCUGGAUUCAGCGGCGGACGGGUGAGUAAUGCCUAGGAAUCUGCCUGGUAGUGGGGGAUAACGUCCGGAAACGGGCGCUAAUACUGCAUACGUCCUGCGGGAGAAAGUGGGGGAUCUUCGGACCUCACGCUAUCAGAUGAGCCUAGGUCGGAUUAGCUAGUUGGUGGGGUAAAGGCCUACCAAGGCGACGAUCCGUAACUGGUCUGAGAGGAUGAUCAGUCACACUGGAACUGAGACACGGUCCAGACUCCUACGGGAGGCAGCAGUGGGGAAUAUUGGACAAUGGGCGAAAGCCUGAUCCAGCCAUGCCGCGUGUGUGAAGAAGGUCUUCGGAUUGUAAAGCACUUUAAGUUGGGAGGAAGGGCAGUAAGUUAAUACCUUGCUGUUUUGACGUUACCAACAGAAUAAGCACCGGCUAACUUCGUG